CCCUUAGAUGUUCUGGGCCGCACGCGCGCUACACUGAUGGAUUCAACGAGUGUUGUUCUUCGGAGCAGAUCCUUGGUCGGAAGGCCUGGGCAAUCUUGUAAAUGUCCAUCGUGAUGGGGCUAGAUUUUUGCAAUUCUGAAUCUCCAACGAGGAAUUCCUAGUAAACGCAAGUCAUCAGCUUGCAUUGAUUACGUCCCUGCCCUUUGUACACACCGCCCGUCGCUCCUACCGAUUGAGUGGUCCGGUGAGGCUUUGGGAUCUGAGCGGAAAGAGCGUUUCGCUGUUUCUGCCCGGAAAACUCAGUCGAACCUUAUCAUUUAGAGGAAGGAGAAGUCGUAACA
Molecule: ribosomal RNA, 341 nt
Filed under: uncultured eukaryote
Lineage: Eukaryota
Description: partial 18S ribosomal RNA
Rfam family: Eukaryotic small subunit ribosomal RNA
Source: RNAcentral